Ipomoea nil (Japanese morning glory) is the source of this 78-nucleotide small nucleolar RNA. The record is from Rfam. Lineage: Eukaryota; Viridiplantae; Streptophyta; Magnoliopsida; Solanales; Convolvulaceae.
CGGAGUGAUGAUAAACAGGAGAUGCUGCACCAGACUGAGCUGAGAAUGAUGUGUAGGAGCGCCCAGAGUUGUCGGUAA